CCUACGGGAGGCAGCAGUGGGGGAUAUUGCACAAUGGGGGAAACCCUGAUGCAGCGACGCCGCGUGUGGGAAGACGGUCCUCUGGAUUGUAAACCACUGUCCCCAGGGACGAAGAUGCCGGUACCUGGGGCGUCCGCUCCGGCUAACUACGUACCAGCAGCCUCGGUAAUACGUAGGGAGCGAGCUUUGUCCGGAAUUACUGGGUGUAAAGGGAGCGUAGGCGGGGAUGAAAGUUGGGUGUCAAAACUACCGGCUCAACUGGGAGUCGCACUCAAAACUGCAGCUCUUGAGUGAAGUAGAGGCAGGCGGAAUUACUAGUGUAGAGGUGAAAUGCGUAGAUAUUAGGAGGAACACCAGUGGCGAAGGCGGCAUGCUGGGCUGUGACUGACGCUGAGGCUCGAAAGUGUGGGGAGCAAACAGGAUUAGAUACCCGGGUAGUC
This 440-nucleotide ribosomal RNA is filed under the name uncultured bacterium. RNAcentral describes it as "partial 16S ribosomal RNA". It matches the Rfam family "Bacterial small subunit ribosomal RNA", at positions 338 to 795 of the family's 1533-position model. The record is from RNAcentral.